RNAcentral lists this ribosomal RNA (429 nucleotides) under Chloroflexota bacterium. RNAcentral's name for it is "Chloroflexi bacterium partial 16S ribosomal RNA". It matches the Rfam family "Bacterial small subunit ribosomal RNA", at positions 355 to 776 of the family's 1533-position model. The record is from RNAcentral. Lineage: Bacteria; Bacillati; Chloroflexota.
UGGGGAAUAUUGCACAAUGGGCGCAAGCCUGAUGCAGCCAUGCCGCGUGUGUGAAGAAGGCCUUCGGGUUGUAAAGCACUUUCAGCGGGGAGGAAGGCGUUAAGGUUAAUAACCUUGGCGAUUGACGUUACCCGCAGAAGAAGCACCGGCUAACUCCGUGCCAGCAGCCGCGGUAAUACGGAGGGUGCAAGCGUUAAUCGGAAUUACUGGGCGUAAAGCGCACGCAGGCGGUCUGUCAAGUCGGAUGUGAAAUCCCCGGGCUCAACCUGGGAACUGCAUUCGAAACUGGCAGGCUAGAGUCUUGUAGAGGGGGGUAGAAUUCCAUGUGUAGCGGUGAAAUGCGUAGAGAUCUGGAGGAAUACCGGUGGCGAAGGCGGCCCCCUGGACGAAGACUGACGCUCAGGUGCGAAAGCGUGGGGAGCAAACAGG